This 525-nucleotide ribosomal RNA is filed under the name uncultured bacterium. Its description in RNAcentral is "bacterial SSU rRNA". It matches the Rfam family "Bacterial small subunit ribosomal RNA", at positions 777 to 1293 of the family's 1533-position model. The record is from RNAcentral.
AAUAGAUACCCUGGUAGUCCUAGCCGUAAACGAUGGACACCAGGUGUUGGUGGUAUCAACCCCACCAGUGCCGAAGCUAACGCAUUAAGUGUCCCGCCUGGGGAGUACGGCCGCAAGGCUAAAACUCAAAGGAAUUGACGGGGGCUCACACAAGCGGUGGAGCAUGUUGCUUAAUUCGAAGCAACGCGAAGAACCUUACCUGGGCUUGACGUGCACGGAUUAACUCUUAGAAAUAGGAGCCACGCCCGCAAGGGUGGAACGUGCACAGGUGCUGCAUGGCUGUUGUCAGCUCGUGCUGUGAAGUGUCGGGUUAAGUCCCUUAACGAGCGCAACCCCUGUCGCUAGUUGCCAGCGCGUCAUGGCGGGGACUCUAGCGAGACUGCCGGUGUCAAACCGGAGGAAGGUGGGGAUGACGUCAAGUCCUCAUGGCCCUUACGUCCAGGGAUGCAAACGUGCUACAAUGGGGCGCACAAAGCGAUGCGAGGCCGCGAGGCGGAGCAAAUCGCAAAAAACCGCCCCCCAGUU